Molecule: non-coding RNA, 203 nt
Filed under: unclassified sequences
Description: FuFi-1 RNA
Rfam family: FuFi-1 RNA
Source: Rfam by way of RNAcentral
UGCGUGUGGGUAACGGCUGAACCAUACAGCCAAAGUGACGCAGCAUACCAAGAAGCAGGUAGUUGCUUUGCCUGCAUCGAGCACAAGCAGCCGUUCACAAAACCGUGUUCAGCUGUCCCUCACCACGGGUCGUGCCGAUUGCAAGAUGUUCGGGUAACAAAUUUGGGGGAAUCUGGCAGUGAAGCAACCGCCGCCAGAUUUUC